RNAcentral lists this ribosomal RNA (254 nucleotides) under uncultured bacterium. Its description in RNAcentral is "partial 16S ribosomal RNA". It matches the Rfam family "Bacterial small subunit ribosomal RNA", at positions 524 to 776 of the family's 1533-position model. The record is from RNAcentral.
UACGUAGGGGGCGAGCGUUGUCCGGAUUUAUUGGGCGUAAAGAGCUCGUAGGCGGCUUGGCAAGUCGGGUGUGAAACCUCCAGGCUCAACCUGGAGACGCCACUCGAUACUGCCAUGGCUAGAGUCCGGUAGGGGAUCACGGAAUUCCUGGUGUAGCGGUGAAAUGCGCAGAUAUCAGGAGGAACACCGGUGGCGAAGGCGACUUCCUGGCCUGUUCUUGACGCUGAGGCGCGAAAGCUAGGGUAGCAAACGGG